GUCCACGCCGUAAACGAUGAGAACUGGAUGAGGGGAAACUUGCUUUCUCCGUGUCGAAGCUAACGCGUUAAGUUCUCCGCCUGGGGAGUACGGCCGCAAGGCUAAAACUCAAAGGAAUUGACGGGGGCCCGCACAAGCGGUGGAGUAUGUGGUUUAAUUCGAUGCAACGCGAAAAACCUUACCUGGUCUUGACAUGUCUGGAAUCCUGUAGAGAUACGGGAGUGCCUUCGGGAACCAGAACACAGGUGCUGCAUGGCUGUCGU
This 263-nucleotide ribosomal RNA is filed under the name uncultured bacterium. RNAcentral's name for it is "partial 16S ribosomal RNA". It matches the Rfam family "Bacterial small subunit ribosomal RNA", at positions 793 to 1055 of the family's 1533-position model. The record is from RNAcentral.